UACAGAAACCUAACUGUAGCAUUAGGGUUGAUAUUCCAGCUUUUUUAUUUUUUUUAAGCUGUUAAGAAAUAUAAGGCAAAAUGCUGAAAUAAAUAAUGCCAGUGAAAAUGUUGAUAGUGGAAUAGUCUACGCUUACGCUUCUAGAUAUAUGCCUUAAAGGAUGCACAGUUGCUUAUAUCUAUUAACACUUAGGCACAGGUAACAGGGCGAGACUGAUUUAGAGGUUUAAAAGAGGCUUCGAUUAUUGUACAGAAUUUUGAAAAAUUAAGAUUUCCUACAAAAUGAUGAUUGGAUGAGUGGAUUCAUGAAAAGCUGAGCAAAAAAAGGAGUUAAGCUUCCUGUGUACAGUGGUGACUUUUGAUUAAAACCGAUCAGAACCGAUUAGGUGUAACUGCUCAGGAGAAUGAUCUCUGCGUUGUGUGGACAGCUCGGUGACGAUACCUCAUGAACGCACAAAGAAAGGUAUUUUAUUUUGUAUUAAGAAGGGGCAGCAUAGAAUUGUAAAUCUGUCACAGUAUCUUAAAAACUGAGGGUGUACCCGUUCUGCUUAGUUACAGAGAAGUUUCUGCUUAGUUCUUCCGGAGAAGAAUUGUGAAGUAGAGAAUGAGAAGGAAGAGACUUGUCAUCAAGCCAAAAAUUAAAAUAAUUGUAUCUGAGAAGGGGUACCGGCCUCAAGAGGUUAAUAGUGGCUGUACAGAACCUUUCAUCAGUAGAGUAGGCUCAGAUCUGGCUACGUUUCUAGAGGUUAGGUGGCUAACGGCUGCUCUGUGGCCUUUGUGAGGUAAGUUGGCACUCUAAGUCCUGUCAUGACUUGCAGAACAAAUAUACUUGCCAAAAAGCACCCUCAGUGAAUCCUGUGUGUACUGAAUUCAGUAACAAAAGUCUAAUUCAGAGCAACAAGGUCAGGACUGCACGUUGUUCUGAAAGGCUUGGCAAAGAGGCACUGAGUUGACCAAGAAAUGGGAUGUGACUCCCUGUCACUCAUGGAGAAGAUAAGUGGUAUGAAGGAAAGUUCGCCUAAGAAGCAUUUGCUUCAGUUCUCAG
Molecule: long non-coding RNA, 1044 nt
Filed under: Struthio camelus australis
Lineage: Eukaryota; Metazoa; Chordata; Aves; Struthioniformes; Struthionidae
Description: lncRNA (ENSSCUG00000015217.1)
Source: RNAcentral